CUGGCUAAAGCUUAAUUUAAGCACUUUACUUACACUAAUGAGAACAUUGUAUGAUCAAUGUAGUCUGA
RNAcentral lists this transfer RNA (68 nucleotides) under Chonosia atrodorsalis. Its description in RNAcentral is "tRNA-Val". Lineage: Eukaryota; Metazoa; Arthropoda; Insecta; Hemiptera; Cicadidae. The record is from RNAcentral.